UUCAGUGAUCAAAGCAACCCACUGAAACUAAGCAGGUGUGAGCCUGAUCAGUACCUGGAUGGGAGACCACCUGGGAAAGCUAAGGUUGCUGCUGGAA
RNAcentral lists this ribosomal RNA (97 nucleotides) under Lepisosteus oculatus (spotted gar). The record is from RNAcentral. Lineage: Eukaryota; Metazoa; Chordata; Actinopteri; Semionotiformes; Lepisosteidae.